UUGCCAGCCCGCUCAGAAACUCAAAGGAAUUGACGGGGGCCCGGCACAAGCGGAGGAACAUGUGGUUUAAUUCGAUGAUACGCGAGGAACCUUACCCGGGCUUGAAAUGCAUCUGACCGGCCUUGAAAGAGGUUUUCCCUUCGGGGCAGAUGUGUAGGUGCUGCAUGGUUGUCGUCAGCUCGUGCCGUGAGGUGUCGGCUUAAGUGCCAUAACGAGCGCAACCCUCAUCAUUAGUUACCAUCAGGUAAGGCUGGGGACUCUAAUGAGACUGCCAUCGUAAGAUGUGAGGAAGGUGGGGAUGACGUCAAAUCAGCACGGCCCUUACGUCCGGGGCGACACACGUGUUACAAUGGGUGGUACAAAGGGCAGCUACCUGGCGACAGGAUGCUAAUCUCCAAAACCACUCUCAGUUCGGAUCGGAGUCUGCAACUCGACUCCGUGAAGCUGGAUUCGCUAGUAAUCGCGCAUCAGCCACGGCGCGGUGAAUACGUUCCCGGGCCUU
Molecule: ribosomal RNA, 502 nt
Filed under: uncultured Proteiniphilum sp.
Lineage: Bacteria; Pseudomonadati; Bacteroidota; Bacteroidia; Bacteroidales; Dysgonomonadaceae
Description: bacterial SSU rRNA
Rfam family: Bacterial small subunit ribosomal RNA
Source: RNAcentral